GCUUCCGCCCGGGAGGGGACGCUGCAGGGGGCGGAGGCCGACCGAGAUCAAGGGGCGAGACCGCCAGCCCGGGCUCGGGGCUUGGGAGGGGGCGGUGGCACCCCCCCUCCACCCCCGGGCCCCGCACCGCCUCGCCGCCGCCCCACUGGCUAGGGCUCGGAGGAGGCAGUGAACUUGGCUGCCCCCUCGAAAUUCCCUCCCCCAGCAGCACACACUUCGGCGCGCGGAUCCGGUGCCCGGGCUGGGGGUGGGCGCGCGCCCCCAUCACCACCACCCCCGGCACUGCGGGUUCGCGCCUGGGUGGUUCCCUUGGUGCCCGGCCCGCGGCUUGUUUACGAGCAUCCCAUUAGUCACCGGUGAGCUCAGGAUCGAUAGCAGCUUCGAGCCCCUUCCUGGAAGGGGAACCGGGGUCGGUUCUCGGGAAGUUGAAAUCGUCUGUUUAGAUGUAACAGGAGAAAGGGGAGGACGAGCGGGCGGAGAAGACUGCAGUUUCCAUCGUGCCAGGAAGAGGGCGGGCUCCGGCGAGCCGAGCCGGGUCUCCGCGGCCGCGGCCAGUCCCCCGCCGACCCCCGGCCCCGCGCGCAGAGGCGCGGGAGUGGGCGUCUCCGGACUACACGCCAGCAGCGGGUGCCGCGUGAAAGAUGCCCUUGGAUGCUUCAGAUAUUUCCAUCUACGUGGCUUCUGUGACUUUCAAAGUCGAUUACAAAUUAGGACCUACCAUAUAACGCGUCUCCUAAAUGACUGUGAGGGCUGCUAUUGAGGGUGGGAGUCCCCGAGUUCAGAUCCGAGCAGGCUACGAAUCCUGCUGAAACGAAAAAGGCUAUAGACACAAGCCUUAGUCGGGUUUUUGGGUUUGUUUUUAAUUGCGUCUUCAUGAAAUGAUUUGAAACAAAUUUUUGUUUUAACUCCUGGAAGUUUGCCUUUGAAUGCUGUCUAUACCUUACAAAAGUCUUCGUUUCCAAUGUCAUGGAGUCAUACAUUGAAGAAAAAUAAUUUAAGAUUGUAAUUUUUGAAAGAGUGAUAAGUAUUUGAACAUAUUUGUAGAAAUGUGACCUGAAAACUCUGCUAGUUAAUAUUAUGGGCCGAGAGACCCCUACUUAGCGGAAGGUUGUAGUGGUUUUGGUUUUGGUAGUUGCUGUGUGAAUUACGGUUCCUGAUGAAUAACGUAGAAGGAUCAAUGACACAGAAAUCACCAGAAUUUGCCUCAAAGAGGUGUGUUCAAAGUCGAUCCUUCAUUUUAGACAAACCAUGCUUUACAAAAUAAUACUUCCAUGAGUGGUGUGUGUGUGUGUGUGUGUGUGUACGCGUGCGCGUUUCUGUGAGUGGGCAUGGGUGUGUACGUACAUUUGCGUGUGUGUGAUUGUGUGUGUCCUAUUACUUUUAGAUCUUGCUGUCCCUUUUAUGGUAACAGAUGUUGCCUAGCAAGCUGUCCACCCAGCAAGGAGAGUUGAUGGGGCUUCUCAUCUGGGAGCUUCAAGACCGAUUCUGUUGUCUCUGUGAUCAUUUCCAGUGAACGGACCUGCCUAAAUGUUCAGGAACCCUAGCAAGCAGAGGGGCUGGGUGCUGCUUGCGUGGCCUGUUGCCAGCUAGAGCCCGGAUGAAAUGCUUUCCCAUGGUCCGAAAUGGAUAACAAAAUGGCCGUAUCUUCGAACAAAUAUUGGUUUUUGUUUGGUUGGUUUUGUUGUUGUUUUAAUAUAAAAUCUUACACAGUGAUUUUUUUUUUUUUAACCAAACCAAAAAGUCCUUUCUGGAAUAAUUUAAUUACCUUUCAUAGAGUAGUCAAUUUCAUAAAAGUGUGAUAUUAAAAAUAUACAAUAAUUCAUAAUACAAAUAAUAGUAAUAAUAAUGUGUGUCAGUCGCUCAGUUGUGUUCAACUCUGUGACCCCGUGGACUGUAGCCCACCAGGCUCCUCUGUCCAUGGAAUUCUCCAGGCAAGAAUACUGGAGUGGGUUGCCAUUCCCUUCUCCAGGAAGUAAUAAUAAUAAUGACCAUUAAUUUUCUUCUCUGUUUCACAUAAGGAAGUGUGUAUAGCAGGAGAAAAGUUAACAUGAGAGUUUUUUGGGUUUUGUUUUUAAUUCUUAACCCUGUAGCUCUUUGACAGUACUUUUGUCUUGAUGGACUCUAUUUAUGAACUGACUAAGCUGAUCAGUCCAUCCUAAAGGAGAUCAGCCCUGGGUGUUCAUUGGAAGGACUGAUGCUGAAGCUGAAACUCCAGUACUUUGUCCACCUCAUGCAAAGAGUUGACUCACUGGAAAAGACCCUGAUGCUGGGAGGGAUUGGGGGCAGGAGGAGAAGGGGGCGACAGAGGAUGAGAUGGCUGGAUGGCAUCACCUACUCGCUGGGCAUGAGUUUGGGUAAACUCUGGGAGUUGGUGAUGGACAGGGAGGCCUGGCGUGCUGCAGUCCAUGGGGUCACAAAGAGUCGGACACGACUGAGCGACUGAACUGAACUGAACUGAAGGUGAUCAGUGAAAUAUUAUAUGAGCAGUUAGAGUAGUUUUAACUUAAAAUGUAUUUUAGGAGUAGAGAUUUUAACAUCAGAGGUGUAUGUCCCAGUCUUUAGAAGGAGUGGCAGCAUUCCAUCAAGUUUGCUAUAUUAAAUAAUGUAUUUCAAAAAAAAUUAAAAAUAAAUUGAUAAUGUAUUUCAGUAGCUUAUGUAACACAUCACCCCUCUGUGAUGAAUGGACUCCAAGGACAGACUCCCUCAUCUAGGGUCCAUAUGGGGUCUUCCUACACUUUAACUGCUAGUUUUUCCUCACAAAUAUAUUUGCUAAUAUGUUUCAACUGAAAUUUCACAAGGCUUUUGUAAUAUGCCAGUGCUGUGCAACAGAAUGUUUUACGUGAAAGAAUGUAACUGCUGUUCAGAUCAUUUACUGUCAAAGGGUGGCUUUGCAAAUGUUUGAAAAAGCAGGAUUUGUUCAUAGGCUGUAUCGUUUUCUCGGAAGUGGUAAAGCUUUCCACUUUAGUAUUUAUUUUGCUCUUUAAAAAUCCUGAUGCAUUUUAAAUAAUCCUUUUUAAAAAUAUUCUUUUGGGGAAGAAGAGUUUUCUAAAGUAAAUGAUUUCUUAUGUGUAUAUAUUCUUGAGCAAACUACUCUGAUGCUCAAGAAUUAUUCUGAAAAGUGUAAAAAUUGAAUUAAAACUGCUCAGAAUAAUGCUCAGUUAUGUGGUAAGCUCCAGGACAGCUAAUCCAAUAUUCAGAACAUUUUCAUUUUUAAAAGAAUUAUAUUGAAGAAAUACUAACGUAUAAACAAGCAAUUACAGAGUGACUACAGCCAGUGACUUACAUUUCUUAUUCAUUCAUCCCUGAAUUCUGUUGUGUUUGAAUUUUGAGAAUAUGUUUCUAUAUUAAAACACAUACACACUUUUUUCCCCUAAAGACUUUCCAUGAUGGAAAUUAAAAGUUUACAUUAAUGGCUAUAUAACAUUACUGAAUCAUCAAGACAAACAAAAACUGUUCCUUCUCAGAAAAUCCCUCUUCCUUGGAAUUCUUGGCCCUGAAAUAUAAUAUAGCUUACGUUUUGCAUGGCUAAAUUGAUGUCCUGCGAUGCUGUGCUGCUGAGUUAAAGCCUUGUUUAUCUUCUAUUUGUUUUUUUGUUUUGUUUCUAU
This is a long non-coding RNA of Bos taurus (domestic cattle), 3605 nucleotides long. The record is from Ensembl. NCBI's taxonomy places the organism in Eukaryota, Metazoa, Chordata, Mammalia, Artiodactyla, Bovidae.